Molecule: ribosomal RNA, 403 nt
Filed under: uncultured bacterium
Lineage: Bacteria
Description: bacterial SSU rRNA
Rfam family: Bacterial small subunit ribosomal RNA
Source: RNAcentral
UAUUGCACAAUGGGCGCAAGCCUGAUGCAGCCAUGCCGCGUGUGUGAAGAAGGCCUUCGGGUUGUAAAGCACUUUCAGUCAGGAGGAAAGGUUAGUAGUUAAUACCUGCUAGCUGUGGCGUUACUGACAGAAGAAGCACCGGCUAACUCCGUGCCAGCAGCCGCGGUAAUACGGAGGGUGCGAGCGUUAAUCGGAAUUACUGGGCGUAAAGCGUACGCAGGCGGUUUGUUAAGCGAGAUGUGAAAGCCCCGGGCUCAACCUGGGAACUGCAUUUCGAACUGGCAAACUAGAGUGUGAUAGAGGGUGGUAGAAUUUCAGGUGUAGCGGUGAAAUGCGUAGAGAUCUGAAGGAAUACCGAUGGCGAAGGCAGCCACCUGGGUCAACACUGACGCUCAUUACGAAA